This 496-nucleotide ribosomal RNA is filed under the name uncultured bacterium. RNAcentral's name for it is "bacterial SSU rRNA". It matches the Rfam family "Bacterial small subunit ribosomal RNA", at positions 28 to 520 of the family's 1533-position model. The record is from RNAcentral.
GACGAACGCUGGCGGCGUGCUUAACACAUGCAAGUGGAGCGACGAACCGGGGCUUGCCCCGGGGCAGAGCCGCGAACGGGUGAGUAACACGUGGGUUACCUGCCCCAAUGACCGGGACAACCCGAGGAAACUCGGGCUAAUACCGGAUGUGGUCUUCGGACGAAAGGAAGCUUUUAAUAGCCUCCGCAUUGGGAUGGGCCCGCGGCGCAUUAGCUUGUUGGUGGGGUAACGGCCUACCAAGGCGACGAUGCGUAGCUGGUCUGAGAGGACGAUCAGCCACACUGGGACUGAGACACGGCCCAGACUCCUACGGGAGGCAGCAGUGGGGAAUCUUGCGCAAUGCGCGAAAGCGUGACGCAGCAACGCCGCGUGGGGGAAGAAGGCCUUCGGGUUGUAAACCUCUUUCAGUUGGGACGAGGGUCACGCCGUUAAUAGCGGUGUUGGCUGACGGUACCUUCAGAAGAAGCCCCGGCUAACUACGUGCCAGCAGCCGCCG